Molecule: ribosomal RNA, 253 nt
Filed under: uncultured bacterium
Lineage: Bacteria
Description: partial 16S ribosomal RNA
Rfam family: Bacterial small subunit ribosomal RNA
Source: RNAcentral
GACGAACCGUACGAACGUUAUUCGGAAUUACUGGGCGUAAAGCGUGCGCAGGCGGUUUUGUAAGUCAGAUGUGAAAUCCCCGGGCUUAACCUGGGAACUGCGUUUGAAACUACAAGGCUAGAGUGUAGCAGAGGGGGGUGGAAUUCCACGUGUAGCAGUGAAAUGCGUAGAGAUGUGGAGGAACACCGAUGGCGAAGGCAGCCCCCUGGGUUAACACUGACGCUCAGGCACGAAAGCGUGGGGAGCAAACAGG